GGCGUGCCUAAUACAUGCAAGUCGAGCGAGGGUUUUCGGACCCUAGCGGCGGACGGGUGAGUAACACGUAGGCAACCUGCCUGUAAGACUGGGAUAACAUAGGGAAACUUAUGCUAAUACCGGAUAGAGUUUUGCUUCGCAUGAAGCGAAACGGAAAGAUGGCGCAAGCUAUCACUUGCAGAUGGGCCUGCGGCGCAUUAGCUAGUUGGUGAGGUAAAGGCUCACCAAGGCGACGAUGCGUAGCCGACCUGAGAG
This 255-nucleotide ribosomal RNA is filed under the name Brevibacillus laterosporus. RNAcentral's name for it is "partial 16S ribosomal RNA". It matches the Rfam family "Bacterial small subunit ribosomal RNA", at positions 41 to 298 of the family's 1533-position model. Lineage: Bacteria; Bacillati; Bacillota; Bacilli; Caryophanales; Paenibacillaceae. The record is from RNAcentral. RNAcentral also lists the same sequence under 1 other name.